AAUGAACGCUGGCGGCAGGCCUAAAACAUGCAAGUCGAACGCCCUAGCAAUAGGGAGAGGCGCACGGGUGCGUAUCAUGUGGGAAUAUGCCUUUUGGUACGGAACAACGUUUGGAAACGAACGCUAAUACCGUAUGGUCCCUUCGGGGUAAAGAUUUAUCGCCAAAAGAUUAGCCCGCACUGGAUUAGCUAGUUGGUGAGGUAAUGGCUCACCAAGGCGACGAUCCAUAGCUGGUCUGAGAGGAUGAUCAGCCACACUGGGACUGAGACACGGCCCAGACUCCUACGGGAGGCAGCAGUUAGGAAUAUUGGACAAUGGGCGCAAGCCUGAUCCAGCCAUGCCGCGUGAGUGAUGAAGGCCUUCGGGUUGUAAAGCUCUUUAGCCGACGAUUAUAAUGACUGUAGUCGGAGAAUAAGCCCCGGCUAACUUCGUGCCAGCAGCCGCCGUAA
This 449-nucleotide ribosomal RNA is filed under the name uncultured bacterium. Its description in RNAcentral is "partial 16S ribosomal RNA". It matches the Rfam family "Bacterial small subunit ribosomal RNA", at positions 29 to 523 of the family's 1533-position model. The record is from RNAcentral.